Molecule: long non-coding RNA, 712 nt
Organism: Hemibagrus wyckioides
Lineage: Eukaryota; Metazoa; Chordata; Actinopteri; Siluriformes; Bagridae
Exons: 4
Source: RefSeq, a predicted model, not a curated record
CCUUUUGCGGUCAAAAAACGUUUGACCGCAAAUGUGCUAUUAUUAUAUAAUGUGAUCCCCCCUUUUAUUCCGCUAGAGGGCGCGCUGAUAAUAUUAAAUCCCUAGUAAACUCGAAAAAAUGCUCAAAAGUUAAAAACAUUCCUGGCGAACAUUAUUUCAGCAGAAAGGACCGUGUAUUUUUUUUUAUCGAGAUAGUCAGGUCUAUUAUAUAAAGUUGUAUGAGCUCUUAGGAUGGUGGAAAUAACAGCGGUUUCCAGCUGUGUGUUUAGCUCGGGAAUAAACAGAAGGUCUGGCAGAAAAGUAAGGAGAACCAAGCAAGCCAAGCCUCUGCUCCAGAAACUACGCUGUGUUGUUGUGCAGGCAGACAGUCACUAAGAAGAGUUUUGGGAGCAGAAACUUCCAGAACAGAGACUAUCUCUACCAAGGCUUCUUUUCUGUUGUCUAGUUUACAAGAUCAAGCCAGGCAUAAUCAAGAGUGUUAACAGAAUUUCCACACCUACUGCUGGCCUGGUGAGUUCCUCUUGUUUUUUUUAUUACAUUUUUUAGGUGCAAUCAUAAUUACACAACCCGAACACACCUUGUUUCACCCAUAGGUGCUAUAAAAAUAUGUAACUGAACCAACUACAUUAAGACUAAUUAAAUAGAAAUUUAGAAAUUUCACAUAUUAUGGAUCACUAUUCAGAUUACAUGUGAAGAGCAAAAGGUUAACUUU